GAUGAACGCUGGCGGCGUGCCUAAUACAUGCAAGUCGAGCGAACGGACGAGAAGCUUGCUUCUCUGAUGUUAGCGGCGGACGGGUGAGUAACACGUGGAUAACCUACCUAUAAGACUGGGAUAACUUCGGGAAACCGGAGCUAAUACCGGAUGAUAUUUUGAACCGCAUGGUUCAAAAGUGAAAGACGGUCUUGCUGUCACUUAUAGAUGGAUCCGCGCUGCAUUAGCUAGUUGGUAAGGUAAUGGCUUACCAAGGCAACGAUGCAUAGCCGACCUGAGAGGGUGAUCGGCCACACUGGAACUGAGCCACGGUCCAGACUCCUACGGGAGGCAGCAGUAGGGAAUCUUCCGCAAUGGGCGAAAGCCUGACGGAGCAACGCCGCGUGAGUGAUGAAGGUCUUCGGAUCGUAAAACUCUGUUAUUAGGGAAGAACAUAUGUGUAAGUAACUGUGCACAUCUUGACGGUACCUAAUCAGAAAGCCACGGCUAACUACGUG
This 497-nucleotide ribosomal RNA is filed under the name uncultured bacterium. RNAcentral describes it as "partial 16S ribosomal RNA". It matches the Rfam family "Bacterial small subunit ribosomal RNA", at positions 28 to 507 of the family's 1533-position model. The record is from RNAcentral.